AUCUAUCUAUCUAUCUAUCUAUCUAUCUAUCUAUCUAUCUAUCUAUCUAAUUAGCAAUGUGUUUCCGAGGUGAAUCGUGGUUCUGGCAGAUAAAAGCACCAAGGAAAAGUAUUUUCCAAGAUUCAUACAGCAGCUUGUUUUCAAUCGUGUUUAUCCAGUGUGGCAGAAAUGAAGGUCACUCUCAACAUGGUUCCAGAAGACCACUUGGCUAACUAUAUAUUCAUAUUCAGAUGUGUUUCCCAGUCUCUACCAAGAAAGAGUAUGCAGGUAAGAU
Molecule: long non-coding RNA, 274 nt
Organism: Thamnophis elegans (Western terrestrial garter snake)
Lineage: Eukaryota; Metazoa; Chordata; Lepidosauria; Squamata; Natricidae
Exons: 4
Source: RefSeq, a predicted model, not a curated record